GCCGCAUUUCCGCUGACGCUGAGCGAACGGUGAGAACUUCGAGAGAGCGAGACUUGGUUCUAGGUGGUUAGACACCUUCGCUCCUUGUAACCAGUGGCCCAGUCCCCGUCAGCCCUGGCCCGGAGGGAGUCACUGAGGACCCCCGGCAGCCUCCAGGGCCGCUGUUACCGGAUCAGAAACCGAGGCCGGGAGCCCCUGCUGCCCCCGCGGCUUCCCCGGAGACAGAUGGAAACUGCCCAAGCCGAUGUCUCCUUCUCCCCUGCUGGACCCUCGUCCUCACUCCUUGAUGGGUGUUCACUGUCCGGAGGUUGAGGAUGGCGCGUGAGAUGCUGCCAUGGGCCUGGAGAUUGCCAGUGGAAGUCCCAAGGGGAUGGAGGCACUGACCCUCUCAGGAUGGUGACCUGUGGUCUCAGCACCUCUAGAGGCUUCCUCGCGGUUAUUGGGGACCAACCACGGACUGGCUUAGCAAAGAGUGAGGAGUGAUGUUGCCACGUGAUGCAUGGCCAGACCUCCUUUCCCCUGUUGCCUCAGACCAGCUGGGAACGACUUCAGUCUGCGUGAGCGAAGCCUUGUGACUCUAGUGACUUGGGGUCCAGCAUUGGAGACCCUUCAGUUGGUUCUGCCCUACCCCAGGAGGGCCACAGGACCAUGGACCAGGAAGACUUGGUCUAGGCCAGGUCAUCCAGUGGCCAGCUCCAGACCCUCUUGUUCAUUGCUUGUAUAACUUUUCAGAACCAAGAGUUCUAAUUAAAGCUUUCUACACUGUACACCAUUGUCCUUUUACCCACCUCAAUAAAUCUCGAAAUAUGCUUCUA
Tupaia belangeri chinensis (Chinese tree shrew) is the source of this 815-nucleotide long non-coding RNA. RefSeq lists it as uncharacterized. Lineage: Eukaryota; Metazoa; Chordata; Mammalia; Scandentia; Tupaiidae. The record is from RefSeq and is a predicted model, not a curated record. The transcript has 4 exons.